RNAcentral lists this ribosomal RNA (423 nucleotides) under uncultured bacterium. RNAcentral's name for it is "bacterial SSU rRNA". It matches the Rfam family "Bacterial small subunit ribosomal RNA", at positions 207 to 622 of the family's 1533-position model. The record is from RNAcentral.
AAGACCUUGCGCUUUUGGAGCGGCCGAUGUCUGAUUAGCUAGUUGGUAGGGUAAUGGCCUACCAAAGCUUCGAUCAGUAGCUGGUCUGAGAGGACGACCAGCCACACUGGGACUGAGACACGGCCCAGACUCCUACGGGAGGCAGCAGUGGGGAAUUUUGGACAAUGGGCGCAAGCCUGAUCCAGCCAUGCCGCGUGAGUGAAGAAGGCCUUCGGGUUGUAAAGCUCUUUCAGCCGGGAAGAAAAGGUUGCGACUAAUAAUCGCAAUCCAUGACGGUACCGAAAGAAGAAGCACCGGCUAACUACGUGCCAGCAGCCGCGGUAAUACGUAGGGUGCGAGCGUUAAUCGGAAUUACUGGGCGUAAAGGGUGCGCAGGCGGUUUUGUAAGUCAGAUGUGAAAUCCCCGGGCUUAACCUGGGAACU